This 253-nucleotide ribosomal RNA is filed under the name uncultured bacterium. Its description in RNAcentral is "partial 16S ribosomal RNA". It matches the Rfam family "Bacterial small subunit ribosomal RNA", at positions 524 to 776 of the family's 1533-position model. The record is from RNAcentral.
UACGUAGGGUGCGAGCGUUAAUCGGAAUUACUGGGCGUAAAGCGUGCGCAGGCGGUUUUGUAAGUCAGAUGUGAAAUCCCCGGGCUUAACCUGGGAAUGGCAUUUGGGACUGCAAGGCUCGAGUGCGGCAGAGGAGACUGGAAUUCCUGGUGUAGCAGUGAAAUGCGUAGAUAUCAGGAGGAACACCGAUGGCGAAGGCAGGUCUCUGGGCCGAUACUGACGCUGAGGAGCGAAAGCGUGGGGAGCGAACAGG